UCUUCCUUCCUCCCCAAAUCAUCGUCGAUACUCUCUGUUCUUCCUCCCGAUCCUCUAUUCUCGCGUGAUGACACCACCACGUUGAUCGUCGUGAGCCUACUGCCAACCGAGCCUCCCUUCUCCUCCACCGAUUGCCUGAGCUCAUUUAGCCAUUCGAUCUCCCCUCUCCUAGUCGCGGACACCAAGUGCUCGUCGGAAACGUGUCUAUUCUCCCAUGCCCUAGAUCGCUGGAUCGCCAAUCCACCAUCAUCAUCAGCACUUGCGCACCACCCGAUCGACUGAGGUCAUUCUGCUAUCUUCUUUCCACCGGAUUCUGGUUCUGUUCUUUUGCAUCGCGCACCACCUUCCAAUGAUUGAUGACGCGAUUUCUUCAUUGUCAGUUGCCACAUUUAAGAGGACAAUAGCUUCUUGGUUGCUUCGAUCUUGGUUCAUUGUUGGCAUCUGGUAAUGUCGACACCAUUUGGAAACGCCCGAUCAAGAGGAAGCAGAGGAUCAGUGUACUGUGGACUUGCCCUGUUGCCGGUCACUGCAAAUUCCACUUCUUGAAGCUGUGAAGGUUGUGGGUGAGGAGGUAGCAAAUAGAUGGUUGGUGUGUCGCUUGGAGUAUCCUGUCUGCUGGGUCCUACGUCACAUCCGAAGGCCGUUUCGGGUUUGUAUAUUUGUAUUUGAUAUUUGCUGUAUUUGGUGUGUUGUUGUAUUUGUUGUUGUGGUUGUUGUAUAAAGCCUAGUCGGCUAGCAGUGUAUUAAUUUUUGUUGUAUUUGACUUUCUGUUAUCGUUUUUCCGCUGUGUUGAUUUUUAAUGCAGCCGAGUGGGUUGUUCAUUGUAUAUAUAUAAUUACGUGGUUGUGUUUAAUUAUGUUCCAGC
Zingiber officinale is the source of this 865-nucleotide long non-coding RNA. RefSeq lists it as uncharacterized. NCBI's taxonomy places the organism in Eukaryota, Viridiplantae, Streptophyta, Magnoliopsida, Zingiberales, Zingiberaceae. The transcript has 4 exons. The record is from RefSeq and is a predicted model, not a curated record.